Molecule: ribosomal RNA, 253 nt
Filed under: uncultured bacterium
Lineage: Bacteria
Description: partial 16S ribosomal RNA
Rfam family: Archaeal small subunit ribosomal RNA
Source: RNAcentral
UACCAGCACCCCGAGUGGUCGGGACGUUUAUUGGGCCUAAAGCAUCCGUAGCCGGUUCUGCAAGUCUUCCGUUAAAUCCACCUGCUUAACAGAUGGGCCGCGGAGGAUACUAUAGAGCUAGGAGGCGGGAGAGGCAAGCGGUACUCGACGGGUAGGGGUAAAAUCCGUUGAUCCAUUGAAGACCACCAGUGGCGAAGGCGGCUUGCCAGAACGCGCUCGACGGUGAGGGAUGAAAGCUGGGGGAGCAAACCGG